RNAcentral lists this ribosomal RNA (253 nucleotides) under uncultured bacterium. RNAcentral's name for it is "partial 16S ribosomal RNA". It matches the Rfam family "Bacterial small subunit ribosomal RNA", at positions 524 to 776 of the family's 1533-position model. The record is from RNAcentral.
UACGGAGGGUGCAAGCGUUAUCCGGAUUUACUGGGUUUAAAGGGUGCGUAGGCGGAUUUGUAAGUCCGAGGUGAAAUCUCCGAGCUUAACUCGGAAACUGCCUUGGAUACUAUAAGUCUUGAAUGACGUUGAGGUUAGCGGAAUAUGUCAUGUAGCGGUGAAAUGCUUAGAUAUGACAUAGAACAUCUAUUGCGAAGGCAGCUAACUAAGCGUAAAUUGACGCUGAUGCACGAAAGCGUGGGGAUCAAACAGG